This is a long non-coding RNA of Chelonia mydas (Green sea turtle), 314 nucleotides long. RefSeq lists it as uncharacterized. The record is from RefSeq and is a predicted model, not a curated record. NCBI's taxonomy places the organism in Eukaryota, Metazoa, Chordata, Testudines, Cheloniidae. The transcript has 2 exons.
UGAUGAGCUGCGUGCCAUUCCAGGGGGUGCAGCCACCACUACCCCACCCCUGUGAUUUGACUCCAUCAAUGGAUUAUGCCACAACAGGGAUGCGCAUUUUCGGGACGAGGAAGAUGAGGAGGAGGUUGAAGAUAGCGCACAGCAAGCAAGCGGAGAAACCAUUUCCCCCGAGACCCAGGAACUGUUUCUCACCCAGGACCUGGAGCCAGCAGCCCUCGAACCCACCCAAAGCGGGCUCCCGGACCCGCCAGGCGGAGAAGGGACCUCUGCUGCAAAUAUUUCUACUCUCCCCCUAUCAUCUCCGUCCCAGAGGC